This 253-nucleotide ribosomal RNA is filed under the name uncultured bacterium. RNAcentral's name for it is "partial 16S ribosomal RNA". It matches the Rfam family "Bacterial small subunit ribosomal RNA", at positions 524 to 776 of the family's 1533-position model. The record is from RNAcentral.
UACGAAGGGGGCUAGCGUUGUUCGGAAUUACUGGGCGUAAAGGGCGCGUAGGCGGACAGUUUAGUCAGAGGUGAAAGCCCAGGGCUCAACCGUGGAAUUGCCUUUGAUACUGGCUGUCUUGAGUUCGGGAGAGGUGAGUGGAAUGCCGAGUGUAGAGGUGAAAUUCGUAGAUAUUCGGCGGAACACCAGUGGCGAAGGCGACUCACUGGCCCGAUACUGACGCUGAGGCGCGAAAGCGUGGGGAGCAAACAGG